This is a long non-coding RNA of Grus americana (Whooping crane), 14449 nucleotides long. RefSeq lists it as uncharacterized. The record is from RefSeq and is a predicted model, not a curated record. NCBI's taxonomy places the organism in Eukaryota, Metazoa, Chordata, Aves, Gruiformes, Gruidae. The transcript has 6 exons.
CAUUGCAGAUUGCAAAACUUCACAUCUUGAGGCUUCAGAGACUAGUCCAAAGCCAGCCAGCGGAGCCAAGGCCGCUGCCUCACCAUUAAAUGUCGAGUUGAAGGGAAACAAUACAUCACCUUCCUCGUGGGCUGCCAUUCAGCCAAGAGUAACAGAGAUUAGCCUUCAAUCACACGGGGGCUGGAGCUGAAGGAAGCCUUCCCGAGGACACGCUGGAGAAACAUUUUCAUUAGCGGAGGAGAACCUGACAGAGAUGAAGUGCCCCUUCACCUCGACUGCUGGACCUCUCCCCUGCCUGGUGUUAACAGGAUGAGGAGAUGCUAACUGAGGAGCUGGUGCCAGCUGCAACACUUUCAGUGCUGUCUGCAUCCAGAUACCGUCCUCUCUUUGGCACUGCCUGCGAUAUUGCAUUAACAGCACGUCUCUGCGGUGAAGAAAUGAAGAGGGUGCAACAGAGAUCAAAAUGAAAUCCUCAGAGUUGCCCAGAAGGAUGGAUAACUGCAAGGAAAAAUUACCCCAUGGCUCUGGAAAAGGAAGAUGUACUUGCUCAGUAACCUGGUGAUGAGGCUGUGUCUCGCCUCCUCUGAACGGGAGCUAAUCUCAUGGAAGAGUGCCUGUGCCCACACCGCUCCAGCAGCCCCUCUGCCAGCCUUCUGUCCUCGAGGGCCAGCUCAGCAAAGCCUUAGUGCUGUUCUGGGCCCAGCUUUCAUUUUCCAGCUGGUUACGGAGGAGAGAGUGAAGGUAGCUGCUGCUGCCGGGCCACGCUAGGUAACAGGUGGGGGACAGGCCUCCUUGUGCACUUAAAGAUCCAAGAGUUUAAUCUGAUUCUGGCUCUCUGUUAGCCCUGAUCCUGUCUUGCAUCUUUUCCAGCUGAUGCCUGAGCCUGUCUUUGUUUUGUUUAUUUUUUUCUUUUUCCCUUUUUCCCUCACCUUAUGAAAAAUGGCUUUGCCAUCUGCAUCUGUCAGGAGUCUGCCGAGCCGGGUAUCCAGCUCAGUGAAUAUACAAAUGGGUGGUUGGAUUGUGGCCCCCUCUGACAGGCCGGAGAUGAAUACCAAACGUGCAGGGAGAAGAGUGUGUUCCCUUCCUCCGCUGCUGCUGCCUCUGAUGGUUGUUUUUCUUAUCCCAAGGAGGUGUGAGAAUCGCCUUUGGGAGCAGUGCUUCCUUCUGCUCCAGUUCUGCCUUGCCAAGGUUCAGUUCUCUGCCAUCCAUCAUCAGACGAGUCCGUUCCUCGCUCCCACAUCUCAGCUGCUGAUGGGAAUGCUGGGGAAGGGGUAACUGUUUUACCCUGCUUUUUUCUACUAUCCUUUUCCUUCUCCCUUUUGUAUCUCACCUCCCAGGCCCAAUUACCAGGCUGGGGCUUGAGGACACUUGCCUUCACUUGCUGGUCCAGGUACUUUUUGAGAGAGGUAAGGGUGAGGUAGAGGAAAGGGGAAUGUCUGACCUUACCCAAGUGGCUUAAAAUGUAAUUUUGAAUGGAAGUUUUCAGCAGUGCUGUGUGUGACUCCACAUAAGAAAGCACCCAAGCACUCCUGCACGUCUUGGCCUCGCUGCGUCCCCUUUCCCUGCUGUGGGUGACCUAUGGGGUCUGCAAGGAGGAAUGCACCAGCCAGGAGAUGCUCAGAUGCCAUAACUCCGCAGGGUCACUCAGGUACCCGAAGGGAGAUGACAGCCUCCCCUUGACACCCUUGGAUUUGCUCACCUCCUCCUGCCUCUUGGUUUUCUGCAGUCUGGUACGUGAGCUGCUUCCCUGGCCUCGAUGCACUAAGAAGCUUUCAGCCAGGUGGGCUCAGAGGAGCAGGCAGGCAGAAAAUGAGAUGAGUCUCUGCGUGCUUUUGCCACAGCUAUCUGGUCAAGGAGGGGAAGUUUCUGGGAGGGCAGACCCCCGCUUUGGCAGGAGGAGCGAGGAGGCAGCCUGAGCUGAGCUAGUUUUUUGACAAGCAGAUGGAUGUUCAGCAGGGGCCCAAGAAAACCCUUUUGCUUCAGGCUAGCUGCAAGCCCUCCAAACCAAAGUGUUGUGCUGAUGCGAAAAAAAACAUCACUCCGUAGCUGCUCGGCCCGAAUUACCUCUUCCAGGCGCCUGAUUCAGGAUGCGGUGAUCAUCCCCUCCUGCCACCGGCUCCAGGGAGGAGCCCGCUGCGUUCUUGCGACCGGGCAAGGAUGCAGCAGGAGCCGUUGAGCAGCGAAGAGGGAGGAAGGCGAGCGAUGGCAGAUUCCUCUGGCGUCUCCACACCACAGGGCUCUUGGCGAGCGAGCGCUCGUCUGCUUUGAAAGCUCUUAUUGUUCCUGCAGGUGGGAGCCAAUUUGUCUGCUUUCCUGCCCAGGUGCCAUCUGUUUGUAGGAUUGCCUGUACGGUGGUUGAGCGCGACGGGGAUGGCGAAGGGAAGGGGCUGCCGGGGUGGGAGAGAUGAGCCUAAAACUUUCCUUGAGUAACUUCAGCGCUUCUGGCUGCCGUUGCUCCCUCUCCCCUGCAUCGCGGCAGGGAAAUCACAGCCUGUCAUUUGCUGUUCCUGGAGCGUGAUAGGGAGCCGAGGCACCGCUAAUAGCGAGCUAUCAUUUUAAUGCUAAUUUCCUACCGUUAGCUCAGGCUGGGGGAGGCUCAGCCUGGGUGGAGGGAAGCCAUUAGCAGAUGGAGAAGAGGGGAGGGAUGUGUGGGGAUUGUUCUGCACCCCGAGAAGGGACUUCCAGAGGGCAGAUGAUUAACCACCACUGGGAAAACUGGUAGCAGGCGCUGGGGUCAGUCUCUGGUGGAUGUGGGAGGGAGAGGGACAUUUUGUUUUAACUCGUGUUCCCGUAGGGAUUUCUCAAGUGCUUCAGGCUUUGGAUCGAAUUCGGUGUUUGCUGCUUAUUGCCAGCACUCAGUACGUGGUGACCCAGGGGAUGCUCAGAGCACUGGCAGGGCCGUGGCUGGUGGUGUGGUUGUCCUUUUAACAAAGGAGCCAAGCAAGGUUGGGUUUUUAGCUACUGUCUUUUUGUGAGGAGCUCCCCAAUUCAGGAGCCUGGACAUCCGCACUGGGUGAUGGGCUUCAAAGCGGGGAAAUUUUGAAGCCAUUCUUGAGAUACUCAAGAGCGAAAAAAAAAAUAAAAAUUUGCCCUAUUGCCAUGGGAACAAGCUCAGCUGCCCCAAGCUGGAGAGCUGGCAGGAGAAACCCGUGGCUGGAACCAUUUCCCUGCCCUUUCCAGAGGUGGGAGUUCCCACAUCCAACCUCUUGGUCAGUCUCCUCCAGCCAUGCUUUCCGAGUGGAAGAGCCUGUGCUGCUCCCCAGGCUGGUGCAGUUGCCUGGGAGCUCCUGGGGAGUUUGAAUGGAGAUGACUGGUUGUGCUGGGAGUGUAGGGCCUGUUUGGGGUUGUGUUGGCAGCAGUCAGAGAGGUUCCUCUACCAUUUCUAGACCUGCUUGGAAACCUUGAGACUAAAGGAGCAUGAGCUGGGAUGCUGUGCUCAUGGGAAGAAACUGGUUGCCUGCUACUGAGGGACAGCAUUGUUUUAAAGGAGGGGCCCAGUAGUGUCCUGGUCUUUGGUACGACACAUAUUUUGAAGACCUGCCAGCCUGUGCUGAUCUAGACCAUUGGCUUCAUCAUUUCAUAUGGAAGCAUAUAUGGAUUUUUUUUUAAAACCAUUUAAAGACCAUUUUAAAACUCUUCUGUUAUCUAGCAGAGAGGCCGUGGAGGGGCAAAAGCAGCUGUGAUAAAGGGAAGGAAAACCAGCGACUGGUUAAACGGCAAAGGGAUGGGAAGCCAGGAGGGGACCAUCCUGCCAGGAGGACAUUAGUACAAGGCUACGUUAGCAGAGCAGCAUUGCUUGCUGUGGUUACCAGCUAUCAGAUCUGCCCCAGGGUGGAGCAUGACUCACUGUUUUUUAGGGAGCUAUUUCCAUCUAAAAAAAUGGUUUCGAUCUUUUCUAGAGCCUCUUAUCCACCUUUGGCCAGGAGAGAAAGAAAAAAAAGUGAAGGGCUACUUUUUCCUAGCUGAGGAGAAUCAAACAAACUUUCCCUCGAGUAGCUGAGUGAGGAAAUCAGCGCAUUACUUAUUCCCAAGAAUAACACAAUCAAGUAGAUAGGGGAAAAUAAAAUAAAAUAGCGUUGCUUUUCCCAGUUCAGCACUCUGAAUAAUGAGCCUACAAGCCGGAGGGAGAGCUCCCAGGAGAGGUGCCUGUGUGCAGGAGAUGGACACAACAAGUGUCUCGGAUGGGCCGAUAUCUGAAGCGAUCUCUCUCUAAUUUUCUACAUCAGUGAGAACACAGCGCGGCGCCAUCAAUCAUAGUCAACCCCCCCCCCGCCUUGGAAAGCCACCUCCUGCCUCUCCGUACUGCGACGUCCCCCUUCCGCUUCUGCCCCCGGCUGGGGACCACAGCUGUCCUGGCCAGCAGCGCCUGCAGGCAUGUUCUCUCCCGGGGGGGGGGGGUUUCUUCUUUGUCACGUUUAGAGCCUGCUUGUGUUUCUGCCUUUCUCCUUCCUCCAUCCCCGGCACCUGUUCCUCACCGGUGCUUUAUUUCCAGACUGCCUCUCCCCUUGCUGGAGUCAGAAAAGGCCAAAUUACUCCUUUUAUCCCCAGGGAGGAGAAGGUGUGGAGCCACUUCUGGCAUAACAGCCCUUGCUGCUGCCUGGAGGAGGGUUGGGGGUGAAUUUGGUGCCUGUAGUGCUCAUCUGUGGAUGGGGAGGUUGGACUUUUUACAGGUCCCUUGGGGCUGCUUCUGCAGUAAUGGCUAUCAGGGCACGUUCUGUGGCUUGCUGGUUCCCCAGCUCUGGGUGUGGAGCAGCUAAGGGAGCCAUCUUUCAUGCCGGGCUGGUGGUACGAUGCAGCAGCUAUUAGUCCCUUGGUUUCUCCUUUUGUGAAGUCCUUUGCUCCUUCCAGGCCUGGCUGUGCUUCCAUCAGACCCUGGGGCACCUCUUUGGCAUGAGUACUGGUGGUGGGUGUCCUCCUGGGCAGGCCUGGGCCAGAUGCACUGCUAAGCUGGCCAGAAGGCUGGUGGGACACAGAGCUAUACUCAUGACCGUUCCUUCUACUGCAGCAUGGACACAGCUGGUGGGUUUGAUGGCUGUUGCUUCUCCAUCUUGCUCAUGCUAGAUUGGGUGCUCUUGCUCAAGUGUGAUGGCUCUUGGACCUACCAAAGCCUGGCUAACUGAUGGCAGCUAUCAUGAAACAAAAGUGAUUUGCAGUCCCAUUUCUGGCUCCACGAGCUCAAGCACCAGUUAGAACCAAGGACUGUGCUUCUUGCUUCAGCCCAGCUCUAGGCAGAAGCACCUUCUGAAUAAAUCCGUGCAAUUGCCACCUGCCUCUCAGCCUCUUAUACUGGCUUCUGAGAGCUGCCAAGGAUCCUUGACCUCUCUUUCAGGCAUGGUUUCCUGCACGUAUCAACCCUGCUCCGGUGUUGUGGAGCUAUUGCUGGCUUCCGUAAUAGCUGCUUUGUUUACUUCCCAAAUGUGCCUGCCCUUUCUGUAAUGAGCUAUAAUUCAUCCUGGUUUAUACAGUGCUCAGAGAUACCUGGAGCAAGGAAGGUGUGCCAUUAAACCACCUCCUAGGCUGCUCUCUGCACCGGGGUUGCUGAUCUCCUGCAGAUGUAAACCAGGGAGGACAAGGGGGACGAGAUCGAAAUGGGGAAUAAUUACCUAGCAGGGUAAAAGGGACUGACUGGGUUGGAAACUGCUGGGAGCUGACAUGCAGGUGCAGAUGAACGGCUACGACAGGCAGGCAGGGUGGAGGGAUGAAAGAUGGGGUUUUUUUAAAGCAUCUGCUUUCCUCUCUUCCUCUGCUUUAUAACCUGUUUUUAUAGAGACUGCAUGAGGAACACAUUUUUUUAUUAGCAGCUUGGGAGUGGAGAGUAAUAAAGAUUAAUUUUUUAAAUAAUUCCUUGCAUUAUCUUUUAAUUUCCUGUGGCAGGGUUUGACUUUUAAAUCUGCAAAUGGAGUUAACAGCUAAUGUGCUCAUCAGUUUGGGAGCGGCGGCUGAAGGAGCUGUGGGACUUGGUGAAGGUAGGAGAGACUCCAAAGUUGAGCCUGGAGUCUCAGCCUCUCCUGGGCUGGCCACAGCCUGUUCCCUGGCCGUAAGGAUCUGUUCAGGUCUGUAGCACCGUCCCAGGAAAACGCGGAGAGAUCUAAUCCAUACUGCAGCUCAUGGUGUCCAUUCGGCUUCCUUCCUUUGAUAGUAAUGAUGAAGCUCCCCUGAGGAGGAAGGAGGGAAACCUGAUGACCCUGCUCUGCUGCUGUGGGUGACGCAUCCUUGCAGAUCUCCAUCCAGGACAGCAUGUGCUGCUGGGACCUGGGCUGAGAUGUGUGCGGUGGUGGGCACAUGGGUUGUCCAGACCAGCUGGGUUCCUCAGUGGUCUUGCUGCUGCUAGUGGGAGGUGAUCACAGGAUGGGGUGAGAUACUAGGAAGAAAUAACAAGGGAGCAGUUGAAGGAGAAGGGGAUGAGGUGAGAGAGAGAAGUGACAACAUGGGGGAUGUGAUAGAGAAAGGCUCUCCCUGCCCCCUGCAUCCGCACUCUCCAUCCCAGCCUCCGUGAUGCUCUGUUGGGCUUUAACCUGCUGGGAGACUGGCUUACAACGCAGCUGGUCUACCUUUGCUGGCCUGGGUGAGCUCAUGUGGCCUGAAGGGUACCCACAGCACGGGGGGCACUGAAGCUGGGCAGAAGUGAUGCCCAGCACGCAGACACCCCAGCCCCAGCUUCCUUUGACCACCGACUUUCUUUUUGUAGCUUAUUCUUCAUCGUAUGGCCAUGCUGGCCGCUCAAGUUUGCUCUGAACUUCUGAGCUGUCUGUAGAGCAAGUGGUGGAGGCAGAGAGCAACCGUUGUGGAGAACCAGCCAGUGCGGACAGGAGCGUUUUGGCUCACGUUGGUUUGAAAGCAGCCGUAGCUCAAGUGCCUGGUGUGGGAUUUGGGAAGGCAGAGGGGAAGCUGAGUGAAGGGUGGAGCACAGUGGAAGCGUUGACCAUGUCCUGAAGAGGCAUUUUAAUGGAUUACAUCACUCCUGUGCUGGAACCAGCACUGGGAUGAAGGUUUUUGGAGAUGUCUGGGCAUGGGGGAGAGCCAAAUCGUGCAUGGGGGAGUGCUCUGACCCAGACAGCUCCUGGCUCCCUCUGACAGAUGCCAUCUGGAGCAGGCUUUGUGCACGCCUGGGUGUCUGUCUGCUUUGGCAGCCUUCUGAUGGCCAGCUGCGUUGACCCAGACAUGGGAGGACUGUGCUCUCCCUCAGAGUCCUCCGCCUGGCUGGAAGAUCUGCCCCGCAUCGCGACAGGGGAGCUCCAGGCUGGAUCCAGCCUCACAGCUGCUCCCCCAUCUCCCCUUGCUCCUGGGAAGAGGAGAAGCAUGCCCCAGCCCAUCCCCUGGUGUGAGGGUCGGUUGCCCCAUGCCAAGUCAUCUGCGUUUGUUGGCGUUUUGCUGGACAAAGCCGUCCCUGAUGAGGUCCAGGUUUGUGGGCACGGUGCAGAGGGAUGUGGGUGAGUUUGCUUUUGGAGGCUGCGCGACUGCCUGGCACCAGACAGACCGCUCGCAGCAAUCGAUGUGGUUUGGGUUCUGGUUUUGUACUUUGGCAGCGGGCUGAGGUCUCGUCCUGCUGGCCACGCUUCAUCCGACCUCGUCCUCUGGUGUCCAAGGGAGCGACAAAAAGCUUCGGUGCAUGUGGCUCGUGCAUGUUUUGGGUGGGAAAACACAUUUCUCAGCCCUCUUUAGAUUCUCCGUGUAUUCAAACUGGAACAGAGGACCCUGCCCUCUGCCAGCAGAUGACAGAAAUGCUUUAUGGAUGCUCCUCAUCUCAGGGGGGAAACUGAGGCACAAAGAGGUGCCUUGAUGCCCAUACCACGAGCACCUUGCUCACACACGCAUCCGCCCCUCUGUGUACGGCUGCCAACUCCGGUGUCCCGAUGUGCUACAAAUAACCGCAGCUUUCAGUUGUGCUUUUCAGCCAAAAGCAACAUCAUUUGCAAAAGUUACCGGGUGUCAGGAACACCGGGGGGCAGUUCCCGAUUGUCCAUAUCUGUCCAAAAGCAGAAACCUCUCCUGUUAUGGUGAGUUCUUUUAUUUUAUUUUUUUCCUUCUGAAGUCACAUAGAGAAAAAUGGAAAUAAAGAGCAGCAGGGAGAGAGCUGUUAAAAAGCUUAAAGCUGUCACAAGGCAUUGGUUAGUUUAUGUGCGGUGAAGUAUACAAACAAGUUUUCAGCUUGUUGGUUGGAGCCAAGGAACGGGGGGUUUUUUUGUGUGAUAAAUAUGUUUUACGGGUCUUUUAUGGGAUUUUUUUAAAAUGCCUGUCCCAAUAAAUUAUUUACCAGGGUAAUAAAAGAUCGAGGAAAUUGGUCCAACCAUAUCGCUGAGCAUCUAAAUCCUGAACUUUUACUGGGGUGGAAGGACCCUCUGAAUUCCCGUGGCCUUAUAAAAGAUGGUCUGGGCGUGCUGUUUGUCUACGGCAUUGUUCUGGAGGCCAGGUGCCCAGCCAGCCCCAGCACUCGGCGUAUCUCCAGGAGGUCCUGGAGGCCUGACACCAGUUUUCAGCCCCUCACCAUUUACUCCUGGAGAUGGAUAGCAUUUUCCUCCACCGCCGGCUCUCACAGCUGCAAAUCUCUCGAUAGUCUCUGACUCUUUUAGGUUUCCAAAAGGUCUCGGAAGCAUAAUGGUUCUUCCUGGUGUGAAGUGGGAGGUAGAAAUCGCUUAGGAAGCAGCAAGGGGUUUGAAGAACAGCCUUAGCCCCCUCCAGUACAGGCUGGAAGGGCUGACACAUAGUCCUGCAGAUAACGGGGACCUCCUCGCACCCCAGAUGUCUUGAUGGGUACGCUUCUCCUUGCUUGGUAUCGACUCCUGCGCAAGGGGAGGGCCAAGUUCUGCUCGCUGCUGGCCAGGUCUCCAUGGCAAACAAACCCAAAAUAGCCUUUGCAGAGGGGAAAUAAAAAUAUAUGGCGUUCCAGCCACACGGUCUAUAAAUACAUCUUUUGGGGUAUUAGACCAGGCUUUAAGAAGUUCUGUCGCUCUCCCUGCUCCUCCCAAGGGGAUGGAGGAAGGAGAGGGCUGGGGGGUUGUACCAAGGGUCCUUGCCUCAAGACAGGGCAGAUACUUUGGCUGCAUCCCAGACUUUCUGCAGUAAGUGGGAUUAGAUUUAACCCCCAGUACAGUUUAAAAGACAUCCAGUUGUUCCUGUGGUGCCUUCUGUAAGGACUCUGGUUGAGCAAGAUGCAUCCCUGUGCAGUAAGCUGCUCAUAAAUAAAUUUAGAUGGGAUUUUAGAAGCAAUUUCUGAAGCUUGAAAGAGAUAAGUCUGGAGUGGCCUUCAAAAGGGAUGGUGGGUGGGAAGGGACAGCCACUGUUUCAAGAUAGCUCUCAAUAUUCAUGGGAAGGAUUAUUUAUUCAGAGCCUUUCCAGAGGGGAGAGUCCUUGGGUAUCUGAUGUGUUGAAGUGAGACUGGAUUGAUCUUUGUUCAUGUUGUCUGUAGCUUAUAUUAAUCCUAUGCCUCAGGGCAUCUGCUGGCCUCCACAGAGUCCAGGGAGGGAUCCUCGUCUCCAUUGAUGCCUAAUUUGGCUCCUGGGUUUGGUCGUGGCCCUGUCUGUCUCUGAGGUGGUGGAGAGUGGCCACAGCUGGAAGCACAUCUGGGGACAGGGAGAAAUUUCCCUGAUCAGCCAACAGGGAGCACAAGGCUUUAUUUGGCUUCCUUCUGGUGGCUUCCUCAGAUCUUACCAUUUUCUGAAAUAUUUCCUCUGCUGUUACGAGGCCCUGGGAAAUUCACGGAGCUGCUAGUCUUCCUCGUUUGCUUCCUGUGCCAUGUUAUACUGGUGCCUUUUGGGCUUUCCUUGGGCUGGUCCUGCAGCCUGGGACAUGGCCGUGUCUCCAGACCCUUUGGUCUAACAGAACCAUUGAAAUGGAGAUCCUGGGCAGCUCCUGGCUGUCCUGAGCCACCCUUCUGGGCUGCCCUAAGCCUGGGGAGAGUGCAGGCAGUAAAAAGGGGGCUUGCUCCCCUAAUCUGGCCCAGCAGGAACAUCCCCUUCGAGUCCGUUCCCUUGGCUGGUGGCUGCCAAAGUUUGGGGGUAUGUUCGUUGCACCCCAGAGGAUAUCGGUGCUGGUGCCCACUUGUGCGGUGCAUCCCCGGUGGGCGGGCUUAAGCCGGGCUGAGCGCUCAAAGCUCACAAAUCAUUAAGGCUGUAGCCUGGGAAACGUUGAAACCGGAGCUGCGUGUCUGAAUGGGUGAUGUUUGCUGGGGUCAAGGCUGGGUGGUUUGGCUUUUGGACUGGCAGCUGGGGAUUUCAGAGCAGGCUUUUCAUUGGGAGGAGCGAGACUGGUACAGUGUCUGAUGUUUGGCUUUAAAGAAAAAACGACACCUCUCCCCACGUCCUUCUUAUUAAUUGUCAACACGUCCUGCCAGUUUGGCAAUGGAUGUCAUAAAUUAAAACGAAAAUUUCAGCCAGCACGAGACAGGCAUAAGAAGCCCAGAUGAUGUGUGUAGGCCAGGCUUAGCAUCUCCUCCUGCUCGCUCCAGACUAUGCAGCACGACUCCGCUGACUUUGGUGGCAUUUCCUCCUGGCUCGCCUCCUUGUGAUGGGAAUUAGACUGCACGUAAUUGAAAAGGAUGGGGCGUCUGCCAGCACACUGCGAGCCACGUUCCCCUUGGCAGCUUGAGCUUGCUGGUGGAGGACAGGGGAGACGGGCUGGGGCAGAUGCCUGUGUCAGGGGGAGGUGAGCAGCCCUAGCAUCGUGGGGAUCCCAAAUCCUUCUCCAUCUGAAGCGCUCUGCAUGUGGCUCCCUGUUGUGCAGGGUUUGCCUGUGCCCGGAGGGGGACUGAUGUCUCCAGCUGCUGUUGCAUGAGCACUAAUUUGUUCUCAUUCGUGAUCUCCCCCUUGCUGGCACCAGGACAGGCAUGUGAAUAACUGCUUCUCCGAGCAGCUUUCUGAACCAAGGACUUGAUCUUGAAAAGCAUCCUGUGAUCUGGCCGGCUGUUGCUGACCCUGGGCUUUGCACUGCCAUGUCUCCCUGUCCGAGCGUCAGUCAAGAGAAGCAGAGGGAGGUGAAAGGUUCCUGGGGUUCACGUGGUCCCGAAUGCUAACGAGAGCUCGACGCACACGGACGGUACGGCGGCCUUGGUGUAAGGCCAGUGAUCAAGACGCGAGGGCAAGGCGUUGUAAAUCUGGCACCUACAAAGAUGCAGGGAAUAAAGCGGGGCAAGAUCUGCAUUUCAAAGAGCGUUGGUUCUGUAACCGCACAGGGAGCGGACGUGCAUGCCUGCUUGCCGCCAAGGCAGAGAGACGAAGCUGUUUGAACUACGGUCUCUAGGAGCUCGUAACCAUCAGCUCUGCGUUCGGGGCACGGUUGAAGGAAAGCUUUAUAACCCUGCACUAAUUGCAUGGUGCUGAGCCUAGGAGGUGAUGCCUGCUGGGCACGGCUCUGCCUAACACAGGCUGCAUCAGAUGAAGACGUCUUGAAACCAGGCUUUGCUUUCAAGUGCACGAGGUCCUUCGCCUGGCUACUAAUGACAGAAACGUCCCUGCCACUGAAGUAGCCCUGCCAGCACUAGGAGAUCAUAGAAUCAUAGAAUGGUUUGGGUUGGAAGGGACCUCAAAGAUCAUCUAGUUCCACCCCCCUGCCAUGGGCAGGGACACCCUCCACUAGACCACGUUGCCCAAAGCCCCAUCCAACCUGGCCUUGAACACUGCCAGGGAUGGGGCAUCCACAAUCUCUUUCCUCUUGGGGGGGCCAGGUCCUACCUCAAAAGCCUGCGGUCCAGGCAGGAGAGGCAGCCACGGGAGCAGGAGGUGAAAGAAAAUCCAGUGGUGAUGAAAUGAUUUGGGUUUGUCUUCCAGUUAUAUCAGGGAUUGAGUCGGGAACGACUGGACACGGCCAGAGCUCCAGCCUGGCCACAGUCGCUGGUCAAGGUGGCUUCCUUCACUGUGUAUGGCUUCUUUAAAAACAAAAAAUGGGGUGGUUUUUGGCUGUGAAUUGUUUUUUUUGGUUGGUGUUUUCUGGAAGGAGAAAUUCUAGAGGGUGGGUGGUUUCAGGCAGCACGGCGCAAUUUUCAUUUCUCUGUCUCGGCCAGCUUGGUGGGAGAUGGAGCAUCUCUCCCCAGCACCCCGGCUGUCACGCUCCUGGGGCAUCUGUUUCACUGGGUGAAGAGGGAGCAUCGGCAAAUCCCAAUUUCUGAGUGACUCCAGCCUGGCCUGCCCAGCACGGGGUCGUGAUGGGCUCGGUUUGGAGACGUCCCCGGGUGAUGGACGAGCAGACCUCUGCAUUCCUUGGCCCUGCUGACAUCCAGACCCUCAGAGCCAAGACCGGGAGCAGGAUCCUGAUGCCUGGCUUGUGUUAAACCUUGCGUGCCUCAAAGGGGCUGGAAGGAGGGGCAGUUGUAGGGGGAGAUGCUUCCUCUAGGAGGCAAAAUAAAAUAGAGCGAGGCAGUGGCUGGGUAUAGCAAAUAAGGCAGCUUAAAGCCAUCCCUUCCCAUCACCAAACUGAGUGUGGAGCAAGGAUGGUUUUUAUGAAGAAAACUCUUCUGUGUUUGUGCAGGUCAGUCACCUGUCCGGGUCACCGGUGUGCAGUUAUUUACAUCUCAGAGGGCACCGUCAGGGCAAAAAAAAAAAAAAGAAGAAAGAAGAAAAAUCCCAUCCAUGCCACUCAAAACACCUCGGUUCACUUGGGCUGUGGUCCAGAAAAGCACUUAAGUGUGUGCAGACGCCUCCCCGGGCAGCAGCAUGUGGCAUCCUCGCCCCGGGCAGGUCAGCAGGGGCUUUGCUGUCAACCUGGGGAGCCAGGCGCCACAGCAAGGACCAGGGAGGACCUUGCUCUUGACGCCUGCCUUUGCAGCAUCCUCAUGAGAUCCUCUGCGAGGUCGUCCCUCUGGGCGAUUCCUGAUUUGAUCGUGGCUGAGCCUGGGCUGGGAAGUUACUAUAUUUUUAUUUUUGUUCCUUAACUAAGUGACCCUGCCUGUGAGAAACUGAAACCUUCCUGGAAAUGAGGACUUGCUCCUUCCCUACUGGGAUGACUGGAGGCCUGCAGGAUGUCACCCUGAGGCAGGACAUCUUUUCUCAGAAAAACAGGACUGGGAGACAAGGCGGGAGACGUGGGCAAAGGAAGACAGAUGUAUGGAGAAGAGAAGUCCAGGUGACAGAUUGAGGGAUGCUGUAACCACAAUAGCCGGCCUGAUGGAUUGAUAGAUUAGACAGGGAAUAUAAAUAGCAAACAUGGUUUAUCUACCCUCCCCGUUUUAUUUUCCUCUCGCUUAUCUCUUUAUCUCUCCUGGUGUUAUUUUCCUCCCGCUUAUCUCUUUAUCUGUCCAGCCGGAGGAUGGAGGAGGGGGGGGGGGGGGACAAGCGGGUGACAGGAGCAGGAUGGAUGAGGUCAGGUUACCACCGCUUUUGCAGCAUCCAAGCAGGCAAGUUUUGCCAGGCAGGGAGGAUUAGGAAGCGGACUCAGAUCUGCACACCGAUACACUUUUUGGGGUUGUUUUUUUUCUUUUUUCUCCCUCCUGUCGCCUUCUCCCCGCACCCUGCCCAUCCCUUCUGCCCGCGCUCCCUGUUUCAGGGACGCUGUGGGUUGGAGGGUCGGCUCCUUCCUCCUUUCCUUGGUCCCCGGCCAAGAAAUGAGGGCAACUGCCGAGGCGGUGAGCUCCGCUCGUCUGGAUGCCCAGCGCUUCCAUCCGACAGCCGGGCAGCACCGCUGCUUGAUAUUCCGGUCAGGCGCCGAGCGCGGCGGCAGCAGCAGGAGCGGGGAAGGAGGGAGGGGAGCCCAGCUCCGCUGAGCCCUCAGCUGCCAGCUCGCCUGCCCCCGCUGCCCGGCUCUUCGCCCCGGCUCGCUGGGCUGAGCUGAGCGGGUGCCGGAGAUGCCGCCGGGUCCCCGGCGGUGGGGCUGCUGGAGACCCAACCUUGGUGGGGGGAACCCACUGCCCCUUGAUGCCUGCGCUGGGUGGAGGGGGCCAGGAUGGGUUGCACCUGGUUUGGGGCCCUCUCUAAGGGGAUGAUGGAUGAACAGGUCUUGAGGAGGUCAACGAGGAUACCAGAAGUAUGGAGCAACCUACAGAUAUGGACCAAGCAAUGGAGCUAGGGCACAGAGAUGACCGUCGUACCUGUCUGUGCAAUGGUAACUGGCCGGAGAGGGUGGCUGGGGGUCAGGUAUCCCCUGGCUCUCCCUGGACCAGAGCUAAGGGUCAUCAAGAGAACCUCCAAGGGCCAAGCUUGACAUGCCCAAAGAGGUGGUUUGUGCCCCAACAGGUGACCAAGCCACGGCACUGCUCGCCUCAGAGCACGGUGGACGUUUGUGUGGGACCAGGAGGAGGUUGGACAUGAGAUGCGGCUGGUGCCACAUGGAGCAAAGGCGAGAGCUGGGGGGAACGGGCAGGAGCUGCCGGCUCCAGGUGCGGGCAGGAUCCCUCCAGGCACGGCUGAUGGUCUUAAUGGGCCACCUCGGAGCCCUGUCCUUUCGAGUUAAUGAAGACGUGGACAGGAGACAGAUGGCCAGCCCGUGUGGUGGCAUCUCCCCUCCUCGGGAGGCUCGGCUAAAA